Molecule: ribosomal RNA, 369 nt
Filed under: uncultured Psychrobacter sp.
Lineage: Bacteria; Pseudomonadati; Pseudomonadota; Gammaproteobacteria; Moraxellales; Moraxellaceae
Description: bacterial SSU rRNA
Rfam family: Bacterial small subunit ribosomal RNA
Source: RNAcentral
CUCUAGGGUUAAUACCCACAGACGAUGACAUUAGCUGCAGAAUAAGCACCGGCUAACUCUGUGCCAGCAGCCGCGGUAAUACAGAGGGUGCAAGCGUUAAUCGGAAUUACUGGGCGUAAAGCGAGCGUAGGUGGCUUGAUAAGUCAGACGUGAAAUCCCCGGGCUUAACCUGGGAACUGCAUCUGAUACUGUUAAGCUAGAGUAGGUGAGAGGGAAGUAGAAUUUCAGGUGUAGCGGUGAAAUGCGUAGAGAUCUGAAGGAAUACCGAUGGCGAAGGCAGCUUCCUGGCAUCAUACUGACACUGAGGCUCGAAAGCGUGGGUAGCAAACAGGAUUAGAUACCCUGGUGGUCCACGCCGUAAACGAUGUC